This 519-nucleotide long non-coding RNA is filed under the name Phoenix dactylifera (date palm). RNAcentral's name for it is "long non-coding RNA (PDAC_LNC008996)". The record is from RNAcentral. Lineage: Eukaryota; Viridiplantae; Streptophyta; Magnoliopsida; Arecales; Arecaceae.
GCUUAUACAACCAUGGUACUUGGUUAUUUCAUCAACAACUUCAUACUAGCAUUUUGAACCUGUGACAAGCGGUUUAGGAACCAAUAGAAUCAUUUUAAGAAUGGAGAUUAGAGCUUGAGACAUUUCAAGGCCUGUGGUAAUAGAAAGCUGAAGCUGCUGGUGGAGUUGAUUUGUUUCUUUGUUUCUUUCUUUUCUUUUUCUUCUUCCUUUUUUUUUUUUAAAAAACACAACCUUUGGUUGCAAUCAUGGAGUCCAUUUCAGCAAACCUGCCAGCACCAAUGAGAAACCACCACAGNNNNNNNNNNNNNNNNNNNNCUUGAGACAUUUCAAGGCCUGUGGUAAUAGAAAGCUGAAGCUGCUGGUUGGAGUUGAUUUGUUUCUUUGUUUCUUUCUUUUCUUUUUCUUCUUCCUUUUUUUUUUUUAAAAAAACACAACCUUUGGUUGCAAUCAUGGAGUCCAUUUCAGCAAACCUGCCAGCACCAAUGAGAAACCACCACAGUACAUCCCCUUUCUUGUCUU